Non-coding RNA from Podarcis lilfordi (Lilford's wall lizard), 150 nucleotides. Lineage: Eukaryota; Metazoa; Chordata; Lepidosauria; Squamata; Lacertidae. The record is from the annotation of a GenBank genome assembly.
UGUCCAGUAGCACCUUAGAGACCAACUAAGUUUGUUCUUGGUAUAAGCUUUUGUGUGCAUGCACACUUCUUCAGAUUCACACUUCUUCAGAUGCACACGAAAGCUUUUACCAAGAACAGACUUAGUUGGUCUCUAAGGUGCUACUGGACA